Molecule: ribosomal RNA, 301 nt
Filed under: uncultured bacterium
Lineage: Bacteria
Description: partial 16S ribosomal RNA
Rfam family: Bacterial small subunit ribosomal RNA
Source: RNAcentral
CAGUAGCCGCGGGAAUACGUAGGGUGCAAGCGUUAAUCGGAAUUACUGGGCGUAAAGCGUGCGCAGGCGGUUCUAUAAGACAGAUGCGAAAUCCCCGGGCUCAACCUGGGAACUGCAUUUGUGACUGUAGAGCUGGAGUACGGCAGAGGGGGAUGGAAUUCCGCGUGUAGCAGUGAAAUGCGUAGAUAUGCGGAGGAACACCGAUGGCGAAGGCAAUCCCCUGGGCCUGUACUGACGUUCAUGCACGAAAGCGUGGGGAGCAAACAGGAUUAGAUACCCCUGUAGUCCCUGUCUCUUAUAC